UAGCUGAUGAAAGUUCAGCCGGGGUAAAGGCCAAGCUGCCCUGUAGCUAGUAGGCAGGUCAUGGCGAAAUCCAUGGGUUGAAGCCCUACGAAAAGCAUGAAAAAAAAUAAAAAAAAUCAUGCGAAGCAAGCCCGCAGGCCGUAACAUCC
Non-coding RNA from Paenibacillus sp. MY03, 149 nucleotides. The record is from Rfam. Lineage: Bacteria; Bacillati; Bacillota; Bacilli; Caryophanales; Paenibacillaceae.